UGAGGAAUAUUGGACAAUGGGUGAGAGCCUGAUCCAGCCAUCCCGCGUGAAGGAUGACGGUCCUAUGGAUUGUAAACUUCUUUUGUACAGGGAUAAACCUACUCUCGUGAGGGUAGCUGAAGGUACUGUACGAAUAAGCACCGGCUAACUCCGUGCCAGCAGCCGCGGUAAUACGGAGGGUGCAAGCGUUAUCCGGAUUUAUUGGGUUUAAAGGGUCCGUAGGCGGACGUGUAAGUCAGUGGUGAAAUCUCAUAGCUUAACUAUGAAACUGCCAUUGAUACUGCAGGUCUUGAGUAAAUUUGAAGUGGCUGGAAUAAGUAGUGUAGCGGUGAAAUGCAUAGAUAUUACUUAGAACACCAAUUGCGAAGGCAGGUCACUAAGAUUUAACUGACGCUGAUGGACGAAAGCGUGGGGAGCGAACA
Molecule: ribosomal RNA, 422 nt
Filed under: uncultured bacterium
Lineage: Bacteria
Description: partial 16S ribosomal RNA
Rfam family: Bacterial small subunit ribosomal RNA
Source: RNAcentral